UCCUGGCUCAGAAUGAACGCUGGCGGCGGUGCUAACACAUGCAAGUCGAACGAAGAAACUUGAGAGACUGAUUCUUUCGGAAUGAAGUCCCUUGAGGAAAGUGGCGGACGGGCGAGUAACACGUGAGCAACCUACCCUUUACAGUGGAAUAMCAAUCGGAAACGAUUGCUAAUACCGCAUAACAUAUACCUUAGGCAUCUUCGGUAUAUCAAAGAUUUAUCGGUAAUGGAUGGGCUCGCGUCUGAUUAGGAAGUUGGUGAGGUAACGGCUCACCAAUCCGACGAUCAGUAGCCGGACUGAGAGGUUGAUCGGCCGCAUUGGGACUGAGACACGGCCCAGACUCCUACGGGAGGCAGCAGUGGGGAAUAUUGGACAAUGGGCGCAAGCCUGAUCCAGCAACGCCGCGUGAAGGAAGAAGGUCUUCGGAUUGUAAACUUCUUUAGACAGGGAUGAAAGAAAUGACAGUACCUGUAGAAUAAGCCACGGCUAACUACGUGCCAGCAGCCGCGGUAAUACGUAGGUGGCGAGCGUUAUCCGGAAUUACUGGGUGUAAAGGGCGUGUAGGCGGUAUACUAAGUCAGAUGUGAAAUCUCCCGGCUCAACCGGGAGCAUGCAUCUGAAACUGGUAAACUUGAGUGAUAGAGGGGAAAGUGGAAUUCCUAGUGUAGCGGUAAAAUGCGUAGAUAUUAGGAGGAACACCAGUGSCGAAGGCGGCUUKGUGGCUAUUAACUAACGCUMAAG
Molecule: ribosomal RNA, 741 nt
Filed under: uncultured feedlot manure bacterium B81
Lineage: Bacteria; Bacillati; Bacillota
Description: bacterial SSU rRNA
Rfam family: Bacterial small subunit ribosomal RNA
Source: RNAcentral